GCGGAGGAUCAUUACUGAACUGGUCGACACGAGUUGUUGCUGGUCCUCAAAUGGGGGCAUGUGCACGCGUCUGUUUACACAUCCACAUCACACCUGUGCACCCUCUGUAGUUCUAUGGCAUGGGGGACUCUGUCCUCCUGCUGUGGUUCUAUGUCUUUACACACACACUGUAAUUAAAGUCUCAUGGGAUGUAUACCGCGUUUAACGCAAUACAAUACAACUUUCAGCAACGGAUCUCUUGGCUCUCGCAUCGAUGAAGAACGCAGCGAAAUGCGAUAAGUAAUGUGAAUUGCAGAAUUCAGUGAAUCAUCGAAUCUUUGAACGCACCUUGCGCCCUUUGGCUAUUCCGAAGGGCAUGCCUGUUUGAGUAUCAUGAACACCUCAACUCUCAUGGUUUGCCAUGAUGAGCUUGGACUUUGGGGGUCUUGCUGGCCUAUGGUCGGCUCCUCUUAAACGGAUCAGCUUGCCAGUGUUUGGUGGCAUCACAGGUGUGAUAACUAUCUACGCUUGUGGUUUUCCAUCAGGUAACCUUCAGUGAUGGAGGUUNGCUGGGGCUCAUAAAGGUCUCUCCUCAGCGAGGACAGCUUUUUGAACGUUUGAUCUCAAAUCAGGUAGGACUACCCGCUGAACUUAAGCAUAUCAAUAAGCGGAGGAA
Molecule: ribosomal RNA, 655 nt
Filed under: uncultured fungus
Lineage: Eukaryota; Fungi
Description: eukaryotic LSU rRNA
Rfam family: 5.8S ribosomal RNA (bases 219-373)
Source: RNAcentral